Molecule: ribosomal RNA, 273 nt
Filed under: uncultured bacterium
Lineage: Bacteria
Description: partial 16S ribosomal RNA
Rfam family: Bacterial small subunit ribosomal RNA
Source: RNAcentral
UACGUAGGGUGCGAGCGUUAAUCGGAAUUACUGGGCGUAAAGCGUGCGCAGGCGGUUUUGUAAGACAGAUGUGAAAUCCCCGGGCUUAACCUGGGAACUGCGUUUGUGACUGCGAGACUGGAGUGCGGCAGAGGGGGGUGGAAUUCCACGUGUAGCAGUGAAAUGCGUAGAGAUGUGGAGGAACACCGAUGGCGAAGGCAGCCCCCUGGGUCGACAAUGACGCUCAUGCAAGCAAGCUGGGGUAGCAAACAGGAUUAGAUAACACCGGAGUCC